AUGGCCGUUCGACAUGAAAUGCCAAUGAAAAGUUAUUUCUCUAAGGGCGGCCAGUUGAUUGGUGAGCCCAUAAAUUGCUGUCUAUGGUUGUCUCUAGGUGGCAAAAAUGAUUUCCCCGAGCUAGCAUCAUUGUUGGACAGAGUUGGAGACCGAGUUGAAGCAGAACUAUGUAGCAGAGCUAUGCAUGUCAUCAGUCACCAUGUCGCAAAUACGUUGCCUAAUGCAUCGGAGGCUCAUGUUAGACUUGGCCAUUUUCUCCCAAAAAAAUUCAAUCAGACGGUUGUACUACAGAAUUUGCACUGCUUACAAGCAAGGAUUGACCUUCACGUCCGUCCAUGCAUGUUAACUUAG
RNAcentral lists this ribosomal RNA (351 nucleotides) under Triticum aestivum (bread wheat). RNAcentral describes it as "partial small subunit ribosomal RNA". Lineage: Eukaryota; Viridiplantae; Streptophyta; Magnoliopsida; Poales; Poaceae. The record is from RNAcentral.